AAGUCGUAACAAGGUUUCCGUAGGUGAACCUGCGGAAGGAUCAUUACAGAGUUCGAGCCCUCCCGGGCAGACCUCCCACCCUUGCCUACCCUACCUUUGUUGCUUUGGCGGGCCGCCCUCGGCCACCGGCGUCCUGCGCUGGUGUGCGCCCGCCAGAAGAGCCCCAACCCUGAAUGUAUUGUGUCGUCUGAGUAACACAUCAACGUUAAAACUUUCAACAACGGAUCUCUUGGUUCUGGCAUCGAUGAAGAACGCAGCGAAAUGCGAUAAGUAAUGUGAAUUGCAGAAUUCAGUGAAUCAUCGAAUCUUUGAACGCACAUUGCGCCCCUCGGUAUUCCGGGGGGCAUGCCUGUUCGAGCGUCAUUCGCACCCCUCAAGCGCUGCUUGGUCCUGGGCCGCGCCGGUGAUGGCGGGCCCCAAACUCAGUGGCGGCGCCGCUGGGCCCCGAGCGUAGUAACGUCUCUCUCGCUGUGGUGACCUGGCGGACGGCGACCAGCAAGCCCAACUUCUAGUAGUUGACCUCGGAUCAGGUAGGAGUACCCGCUGAACUUAA
This 553-nucleotide ribosomal RNA is filed under the name Unguiculariopsis lettaui. Its description in RNAcentral is "eukaryotic LSU rRNA". The stretch from base 210 to 363 matches the Rfam family "5.8S ribosomal RNA". The record is from RNAcentral. Lineage: Eukaryota; Fungi; Ascomycota; Leotiomycetes; Helotiales; Cordieritidaceae.